UCAGGGUGGGGAAUGGGUGCACUUAUUAGAUCAGAAGCCAACCAAUUCAUGGGCCCGCUUCACGGUGGGUGUGUGGAUUGUAGCACUUCUGGUGACUCUGGAUAAUUGUUACAGAUCGCAGUCGGCUUUUAUGUCGGCGACGGGUCCUUCAAAUGUCUGCCCUAUCAACUAUCGAUGGUAGGUGACCUGCCUACCAUGGUGAUAACGGGUAACGGGGAAUCAGGGUUCGAUUCCGGAGAGGGAGCCUGAGAAACGGCUACCACUUCCAAGGGAGGCAGCAGGCGCGCAAAUUACCCACUCCCAGUACGGGGAGGUGGUGACGAAAAAUACCGAUGCGGGACUCAUUAACGAGGCUCCGUAAUCGGAAUGAGUGGACUCUAAAUCCUUUCACCGAGGAUCAAUUUGAGGCAGUCGCCACCG
This 420-nucleotide ribosomal RNA is filed under the name Fimbriaria sp. KNU 21-947. RNAcentral's name for it is "SSU rRNA". It matches the Rfam family "Eukaryotic small subunit ribosomal RNA", at positions 187 to 579 of the family's 1831-position model. The record is from RNAcentral. Lineage: Eukaryota; Metazoa; Platyhelminthes; Cestoda; Cyclophyllidea; Hymenolepididae.